Molecule: long non-coding RNA, 593 nt
Organism: Panicum virgatum (switchgrass)
Lineage: Eukaryota; Viridiplantae; Streptophyta; Magnoliopsida; Poales; Poaceae
Exons: 2
Source: RefSeq, a predicted model, not a curated record
UGGCCUGAUUUGCUUGUGGAUCCAUCGUCUCAUCCCGUCGUCCCUGUCAUCUCGUCACUGGCGGCGGCGGCGGCGUCGCAGCAGCAGCAGCUGCCGUUCGCUCGUGGGAUCUCUAAAGUUGGCGCUGGGACCAGGGAGAUUGUCGUCGUCACACCCCCGUCUGUCUAUCCGUGGAUCCGCUAGGAAUGUUGCUGCAUGGAUCGAUAGGAUGUUGCUGCGGGGUGCAGGGGCCCAAGGCAUCGGCAGUGAUGGAGAGGAGGAGCAUGCGCACGUCGGCGGCGGCUAUCGCUGCCGGCGACCAGUAGCGGCGACGGGGGUGCUUGGCGGCCGCGCAUGAUCCAAACUGACGAGGAUUCGAUCUGCAAUCUGUGCUGCAUGAAGACCUGCGAUGCGUCAAGGAAUUGAGCUCGUGUUGAGAUCUAUUUUGCUGGAAUUGACCUGUGUUGCUGUCUUGUGUUGAUUUAACAAGGAGCAAGGUCACAAAUCUAUAUCUUGAAUUGAGCAGUGUUCUGUAAAAAAAUAUUUGUUGAUGUUUGCUACUAGUAUUUGAUUCAAUUUAUUAUCUAUAAAAUUUGGUAUGCAACGCUUCUCUU